Molecule: ribosomal RNA, 679 nt
Filed under: uncultured Nitrososphaerota archaeon
Lineage: Archaea; Thermoproteati; Nitrososphaerota
Description: bacterial SSU rRNA
Rfam family: Archaeal small subunit ribosomal RNA
Source: RNAcentral
ACGUGGCAUACGGCUCAGUAACACGUAGUCAACAUGCCCAGGGGACGUGGAUAACCUCGGGAAACUGAGGAUAAACCGCGAUAGGCCAUGAUUUCUGGAAUGGUUCAUGGCCGAAAUCUAUAUGGCCCCUGGAUUGGACUGCGGCCGAUCAGGCUGUUGGUGAGGUAAUGGCCCACCAAACCUGUAACCGGUACGGGCUCUGAGAGGAGGAGCCCGGAGAUGGGCACUGAGACAAGGGCCCAGGCCCUAUGGGGCGCAGCAGGCGCGAAAUCUCUGCAAUAGGCGAAAGCUUGACAGGGUUACUCUGAGUGGUUCCCGUUAAGGGGAUCUUUUGGCACCUUUAAAAAUGGUGCAGAAUAAGGGGUGGGCAAGUCUGGUGUCAGCCGCCGCGGUAAUACCAGCACCCCGAGUGGUCGGGACGAUUAUUGGGCCUAAAGCAUCCGUAGCCGGUACUGCAAGUCUUCCGUUAAAUCCACCUGCUUAACAGUUGGGCUGCGGGGGAUACUACAGCGCUAGGAGGCGGGAGAGGCAAGCGGUACUCAAUGGGUAGGGGUAAAAUCCGCUGAUCCAUUGAAGACCACCAGUGGCGAAGGCGGCUUGCCAGAACGCGCUCGACGGUGAGGGAUGAAAGCUGGGGGAGCAAACCGGAUUAGAUACCCGGGUAGUCCCAGCUGUAAAC